RNAcentral lists this ribosomal RNA (181 nucleotides) under uncultured bacterium. RNAcentral's name for it is "partial 16S ribosomal RNA". It matches the Rfam family "Bacterial small subunit ribosomal RNA", at positions 1320 to 1500 of the family's 1533-position model. The record is from RNAcentral.
AUGAAGCUGGAAUCGCUAGUAAUCGCGGAUCAGAAUGCCGCGGUGAAUACGUUCCCGGGUCUUGUACACACCGCCCGUCACACCAUGGGAGUCGGAAAUGCCCGAAGUCUGUGACCUAACCGUAAGGAAGGAGCAGCCGAAGGCAGGUCGGAUGACUGGGGUGAAGUCGUAACAAGGUAUC